This is a long non-coding RNA of Bos taurus (domestic cattle), 391 nucleotides long. The record is from Ensembl. Lineage: Eukaryota; Metazoa; Chordata; Mammalia; Artiodactyla; Bovidae.
AAUACAGAAGGCAGCUCUGAAUCAACCAACAGGGACCUGAAUUUGGAGUGACCACAAAGACUGGCAGCAAUGACCUAACCAGACUGUUCCGACAGAGUAUCCUUGUUUGUGGUCCCCUUGCAUCCUGCUGGUUUUCCAAGCUUGAUUUUCGGCCUUCAAGGGGACACUGGUUCCAUCCCUGGUCUGGGAGGAUUCUACAUUCCACGGGGCAACUAAGCUCGUGUGCUACCACCACUGGAGCCUGGGAGAGCCCACGGCCGCAGCGAGAGAGGCCACUACAGCGAGAAGCCUGUGCACCACAACCAAAGAGCAGCCCCUCACUCCACAACUAGAGAACACCCUCAUGCAGCAAUGAAGACCCAGUGCAGCCAAAUAAAUAAAUACUAAACAG